This 20-nucleotide ribosomal RNA is filed under the name Clonostachys rosea. RNAcentral's name for it is "partial 28S ribosomal RNA". The record is from RNAcentral. Lineage: Eukaryota; Fungi; Ascomycota; Sordariomycetes; Hypocreales; Bionectriaceae.
GGUGACCUCAGUCAGUAGAG